RNAcentral lists this ribosomal RNA (264 nucleotides) under uncultured archaeon. Its description in RNAcentral is "partial 16S ribosomal RNA". It matches the Rfam family "Archaeal small subunit ribosomal RNA", at positions 717 to 982 of the family's 1478-position model. The record is from RNAcentral.
AGACGUCUACAUUAGAUACCCCGGUAGUCCCAGCCGUAAACGAUGCGCGUUAGGUGUAUCGACGACCACGAGUCGUCGAGGUGCCGAAGGGAAACCGUGAAACGUGCCGCCUGGGAAGUACGGUCGCAAGGCUGAAACUUAAAGGAAUUGGCGGGGAGCACAACAACGGGUGGAGCCUGCGGUUUAAUUGGACUCAACGCCGGGAAGCUCACCGGAUAAGACAGCGGAAUGAUUGCCGGGCUGAAGGCUCUGCAUGACUAGCUG